Molecule: transfer RNA, 86 nt
Filed under: Erwinia phage pEa_SNUABM_6
Lineage: Duplodnaviria; Heunggongvirae; Uroviricota; Caudoviricetes; Chimalliviridae
Description: tRNA-Tyr
Rfam family: tRNA
About the family: Transfer RNA (tRNA) molecules are approximately 80 nucleotides in length. Their secondary structure includes four short double-helical elements and three loops (D, anti-codon, and T loops).
Source: RNAcentral
GGGGGUGUUCCAGAGCGGUCAAAUGGAGCAGACUGUAAAUCUGUUGACUUCGGUCUUCGGUGGUUCAAAUCCAUCCACCCCCACCA